Molecule: ribosomal RNA, 497 nt
Filed under: uncultured bacterium
Lineage: Bacteria
Description: partial 16S ribosomal RNA
Rfam family: Bacterial small subunit ribosomal RNA
Source: RNAcentral
GAUGAACGCUGGCGGCGUGCCUAAUACAUGCAAGUCGAGCGAACAGACGAGGAGCUUGCUCCUCUGACGUUAGCGGCGGACGGGUGAGUAACACGUGGAUAACCUACCUAUAAGACUGGGAUAACUUCGGGAAACCGGAGCUAAUACCGGAUAAUAUAUUGAACCGCAUGGUUCAAUAGUGAAAGACGGUUUUGCUGUCACUUAUAGAUGGAUCCGCGCCGCAUUAGCUAGUUGGUAAGGUAACGGCUUACCAAGGCGGCGAUGCGUAGCCGACCUGAGAGGGUGAUCGACCACACUGGAACUGAGACACGGUCCAGACUCCUACGGGAGGCAGCAGUAGGGAAUCUUCCGCAAUGGGCGAAAGCCUGACGGAGCAACGCCGCGUGAGUGAUGAAGGUCUUCGGAUCGUAAAACUCUGUUAUUAGGGAAGAACAAAUGUGUAAGUAACUAUGCACGUCUUGACGGUACCUAAUCAGAAAGCCACGGCUAACUACGUG